This 467-nucleotide ribosomal RNA is filed under the name uncultured bacterium. RNAcentral describes it as "partial 16S ribosomal RNA". It matches the Rfam family "Bacterial small subunit ribosomal RNA", at positions 28 to 507 of the family's 1533-position model. The record is from RNAcentral.
GACGAACGCUGGCGGCGUGCUUAACACAUGCAAGUCGAACGGAAAGGCCUCUUUCGGGGGGUACUCGAGUGGCGAACGGGUGAGUAACACGUGAGUAACCUGCCCUUGACUUUGGGAUAACUUCAGGAAACUGGGGCUAAUACCGGAUAGGAGCUCCUGCUGCAUGGUGGGGGUUGGAAAGUUUCGGCGGUUGGGGAUGGACUCGCGGCUUAUCAGCUUGUUGGUGGGGUAGUGGCUUACCAAGGCUUUGACGGGUAGCCGGCCUGAGAGGGUGACAGGCCACAUUGGGACUGAGAUACGGCCCAGACUCCUACGGGAGGCAGCAGUGGGGAAUAUUGCACAAUGGGUGGAAGCCUGAUGCAGCAACGCCGUGUGCGGGAUGACGGCCUUCGGGUUGUAAACCGCUUUCGCUCAUGACGAAGCUUUGUGUGACGGUAGUGGGUAAAGAAGCACCGGCUAACUACGUG